ACAGGUGGUGCAUGGUUGUCGUCAGCUCGUGUCGUGAGAUGUUGGGUUAAGUCCCGCAACGAGCGCAACCCCUGUCCUCAGUAGCCAUCACGUUAUGGUGGGCACUCUGGGGAGACUGCCGGGGAUAACCCGGAGGAAGGUGGGGAUGACGUCAAAUCAUCAUGCCCCUUAUGAUUUGGGCUACACACGUGCUACAAUGGCGUAAACAAAGGGAAGCGAGCCCGCGAGGGGGAGCAAAUCCCAAAAAUAACGUCCCAGUUCGGAUUGCAGUCUGCAACUCGACUGCAUGAAGCUGGAAUCGCUAGUAAUCGCGAAUCAGAAUGUCGCGGUGAAUACGUUCCCGGGUCUUGUACACACCGCCCGUCACACCAUGGGAGUUGGUAACGCCCGAAGCCAGUGACCUAACCGAAAGGGAGGAGCUGUCGAAGGCGGGACCGAUAACUGGGGUGAAGUCGUAACAAGGUAGCCGUAUCGGAAGGUGCGGCUGGAUCACCUCCA
RNAcentral lists this ribosomal RNA (498 nucleotides) under uncultured bacterium. Its description in RNAcentral is "bacterial SSU rRNA". It matches the Rfam family "Bacterial small subunit ribosomal RNA", at positions 1034 to 1531 of the family's 1533-position model. The record is from RNAcentral.